Molecule: transfer RNA, 73 nt
Filed under: Felis catus (domestic cat)
Lineage: Eukaryota; Metazoa; Chordata; Mammalia; Carnivora; Felidae
Rfam family: tRNA
About the family: Transfer RNA (tRNA) molecules are approximately 80 nucleotides in length. Their secondary structure includes four short double-helical elements and three loops (D, anti-codon, and T loops).
Source: Rfam by way of RNAcentral
ACCUGGUUGGCUCAGUUGGUAGAGCAUGCUACUCUUGAUCUCGGGAUUGUGAGUUCAAGCCCCACACUGGGCA